Molecule: ribosomal RNA, 585 nt
Filed under: Cutaneotrichosporon mucoides
Lineage: Eukaryota; Fungi; Basidiomycota; Tremellomycetes; Trichosporonales; Trichosporonaceae
Description: partial 26S ribosomal RNA
Source: RNAcentral
UUAUUAAUCUCAAUGUCAACAUCCUAAGCUCGAACGUGUCCGAAGACCGGCCAAAAGGCGAGCUGCAGUCCUCAGUCUCACCCAGUGUAUGCAAUAAUAGUCUAUAACACUCCCGGGGGAGCUACAUUCCUACUAUCUUUAUCCACCGGACAAAACUGAUGUUGACCCGUUCAAUGGAAGUAGACUAGAAGAACUAGCUGAAUCCAAAGAACACGACUGACUUCAAUCGUUUCCCUUUCAACAAUUUCACGUACUGUUUAACUCUCUUUCCAAAGUGCUUUUCAUCUUUCCCUCACGGUACUUGUUCGCUAUCGGUCUCUCGCCAAUAUUUAGCUUUAGAUGGAAUUUACCACCCAUUUUGAGCUGCAUUCCCAAACAACUCGACUCGUAGAGCGUGUAUCACAGAGCACUGGUGGUCGUAUCAAGCACGGGAUUGUCACCCUCUUUGAUACCCUGUUCCAAGGGACUUAGAUACGGUCCAGCACGGAAAACACGUCUAUAGAUUACAACUCGGACUAUCGAAGACAGCCAGAUUACAAAUUUGAGCUUUUCCCGGUUCACUCGCCGUUACUAAGGGAAUCCUAG